Molecule: ribosomal RNA, 492 nt
Filed under: uncultured bacterium
Lineage: Bacteria
Description: partial 16S ribosomal RNA
Rfam family: Bacterial small subunit ribosomal RNA
Source: RNAcentral
AGUGAACGCUGGCGGUAGGCCUAACACAUGCAAGUCGAACGGCAGCACAGUAAGAGCUUGCUCUUACGGGUGGCGAGUGGCGGACGGGUGAGGAAUACAUCGGAAUCUACUUUUUCGUGGGGGAUAACGUAGGGAAACUUACGCUAAUACCGCAUACGACCUACGGGUGAAAGCAGGGGAUCUUCGGACCUUGCGCGAUUGAAUGAGCCGAUGUCGGAUUAGCUAGUUGGCGGGGUAAAGGCCCACCAAGGCGACGAUCCGUAGCUGGUCUGAGAGGAUGAUCAGCCACACUGGAACUGAGACACGGUCCAGACUCCUACGGGAGGCAGCAGUGGGGAAUAUUGGACAAUGGGCGCAAGCCUGUUCCAGCCAUACCGCGUGGGUGAAGAAGGCCUUCGGGUUGUAAAGCCCUUUUGCUGGGAAAGAAAAGCAGCAGGUUAAUACCCCGCUGUUCUGACGGUACCCAAAGAAUAAGCACCGGCUAACUUCGUG